This 407-nucleotide ribosomal RNA is filed under the name uncultured Propionicimonas sp. RNAcentral describes it as "bacterial SSU rRNA". It matches the Rfam family "Bacterial small subunit ribosomal RNA", at positions 375 to 774 of the family's 1533-position model. Lineage: Bacteria; Bacillati; Actinomycetota; Actinomycetes; Propionibacteriales; Nocardioidaceae. The record is from RNAcentral.
ACGAAAGUCUGAUGGAGCAACGCCGGGUGAGUGAUGAAGGUUUUCGGAUCGUAAAACUCUGUUGUAAGGGAAGAACCAGUACGUCAGGCAAUGGACGUACCUUGACGGUACCUUAUUAGAAAGCCACGGCUAACUACGUGCCAGCAGCCGCGGUAAUACGUAGGUGGCAAGCGUUGUCCGGAAUUAUUGGGCGUAAAGAGCUUGUAGGCGGUUUGUUGCGUCGGAAGUGAAAACUCAGGGCUUAACCCUGAGCCUGCUUUCGAUACGGGCAGACUUGAGGGAUGUAGGGGUGAACGGAAUUCCUGGUGGAGCGGUGGAAUGCGCAGAUAUCAGGAGGAACACCAGUGGCGAAGGCGGUUCUCUGGACAUUUCCUGACGCUGAGAAGCGAAAGCGUGGGGAGCAAACA